UCUUCUUCUUCUUCAUCAUCGAUCUAGGAUGGGUUCCAGGUUGGCAGCCUGGGAUAGCAAGGAUGGAUGUCGUUCUUCUUUUCUCGUUUAUUGUUCAUCCGUAGUCGGACUCUGUUCUUACUCCUGAUGCUUAUGUAAUGUACUGAUGUGACUCUGAUGUANGUCACUAUAUAUAUAUAUCUCUUCUUUUAGUACAUGUACUUGUAACGAUAUCCAUUCUUGCGACACGACAAGAUGCGCUUCUAUCCCUGACGAGGCCUUCGUGCCAAAUUGAGGAUAGGGUCGCAUCUUGGGCGUGACAUAUAUGAAAAAAAGGAAAAAGGGACCUCCUUAUCGAGUAUGACAUUUUGGAUGUUCCUUCGAAUCCCAGUAAUUGUGUGUUGUGGAUUUUGAUAGGAUGAAGGAAAUUAAAAAGGAUUUAGAUG
Molecule: long non-coding RNA, 425 nt
Filed under: Hordeum vulgare
Lineage: Eukaryota; Viridiplantae; Streptophyta; Magnoliopsida; Poales; Poaceae
Description: long non-coding RNA (HVUL_LNC018490)
Source: RNAcentral